RNAcentral lists this non-coding RNA (28 nucleotides) under Rattus norvegicus (Norway rat). The record is from RNAcentral. Lineage: Eukaryota; Metazoa; Chordata; Mammalia; Rodentia; Muridae.
UAUCUCCUAAAGUGUCUUGUUUGUGCCA